GACGAACGCUGGCGGCGUGCUUAACACAUGCAAGUCGAACGGAAAGGCCCUGCUUUUGUGGGGUGCUCGAGUGGCGAACGGGUGAGUAACACGUGAGUAACCUGCCCUUGACUUUGGGAUAACUUCGGGAAACUGGGGCUAAUACCGGAUAGGAGCUCCUGCUGCAUGGUGGGGGGUGGAAAGUUUCGGCGGUUGGGGAUGGACUCGCGGCUUAUCAGCUUGUUGGUGGGGUAGUGGCUUACCAAGGCUUUGACGGGUAGCCGGCCUGAGAGGGUGACCGGCCACAUUGGGACUGAGAUACGGCCCAGACUCCUACGGGAGGCAGCAGUGGGGAAUAUUGCACAAUGGGCGGAAGCCUGAUGCAGCAACGCCGCGUGCGGGAUGACGGCCUUCGGGUUGUAAACCGCUUUCGCCUGUGACGAAGCGUGAGUGACGGUAAUGGGUAAAGAAGCACCGGCUAACUACGUG
This 468-nucleotide ribosomal RNA is filed under the name uncultured bacterium. RNAcentral describes it as "partial 16S ribosomal RNA". It matches the Rfam family "Bacterial small subunit ribosomal RNA", at positions 28 to 507 of the family's 1533-position model. The record is from RNAcentral.